UUUCUUUCACAGAGACAAUUUCAUAGUCGAUGAAGUUUUACUGAGACGUGAUUAUUGCUGGUUGAAAACUUUCCCCAAUACACCACCUAGAUGACUUGAAAUACAGUCAGCUGUGGCAAUUUUUGUUAGUCUCUGGAGG
This is a small nuclear RNA of Scatophagus argus, 139 nucleotides long. RefSeq annotates it as U4 spliceosomal RNA. NCBI's taxonomy places the organism in Eukaryota, Metazoa, Chordata, Actinopteri, Scatophagidae. The transcript has a single exon. The record is from RefSeq and is a predicted model, not a curated record.